Myotis lucifugus (little brown bat) is the source of this 136-nucleotide small nucleolar RNA. Ensembl annotates it as small nucleolar RNA SNORA8. The record is from Ensembl. Lineage: Eukaryota; Metazoa; Chordata; Mammalia; Chiroptera; Vespertilionidae.
UGCACUGCAUGGUAUCUGCAUUCAGUAGUUUAUUCCUGCUGGGUGUUCAAAGGACAGCAAUAUAAAUUCAGUAUCUGGCAUCAUUGGUUUUCUUGGCUUUGUGCAUGUUAAACCUGGCAUUUUUAUUGAAACAUUA